Long non-coding RNA from Ictalurus furcatus (blue catfish), 1530 nucleotides. RefSeq lists it as uncharacterized. The record is from RefSeq and is a predicted model, not a curated record. Lineage: Eukaryota; Metazoa; Chordata; Actinopteri; Siluriformes; Ictaluridae. The transcript is spliced from 2 exons.
UUAUAUGACUGUAAGUCAUUCCCUUCAAAUGCUAUUGAAGUUAGAAACGUGUUUAACAAUGUCGUAUGUAACUUUAGAGACGGUCCCUUAAUUUCCUCAUAUCCGCGAAUAUCGAGCGUCCAACGUAAAGUCAACUUUAUUCCAGUGGAAUACGUAAGAAAAAAAACAUGAUGUGCAAUAUAAACCCACAAUCCUCUCGCUCUCUGUUAUUGAUUAGCGUUCUGUUGGCAUGACAACAUAUCUUGGUGAUUCAGAGUUCCUUGUUCCCUGGCAUUUCCGGUUCCCAUUUCCGUUCAGUUUAUAGAGGCGAGUCGGCGGUGGAGAUCGCGUUCAGUGAUCAACAUUAGCUGGUGGCUGAAUGAUAUGGAUAUGUAUAUGAUGUAUAUGUAUGUUGAGCCGCGGUAUCUGUGAGUAAUCAUAUAACUUCGCGUCUGGUGUUUAUUCAACCAAAUUUUAAAUACACCUCUCUUUUUUCACAUUGGGACUUGGUAGAUUUAGUUUGUAUUAAGGUGAGAGUGGAGAGUUGAGCAUUUAAUCUUCUCUAAGUCAAACUCCUAUCCCAAGACGCUACAUGUGACGCUGCUGCUGUUUUGUUUUACUUCACUGCUCUAUCGUUAUUCUUUCUUGUUCUCUUUAUUGUUUUAUUUAUUGUUUUGUUUAUGGGCUGGUUCGGUUCCGGGCUUUGCUUUUGCUGUCUUGCUUAGCAGCACGCUUCGGCUGUCUGUUUACGUGCCUUGCCUCCGCUGUGUUGCAUAUCAGCUUUAUUUUAUUGCUGGUGUAAUUUUUUAUUUAGUUUUUCUCUAUUUGUGUUGUCUUUUCCUAAAAUUUUUCGUUGUGCUAGUGUCUGUUUUGUUGACUUUAGUUUUGGAUGUAUUUUUGGUUUGUUUUGCAACCACAUGUAGUGUAAGAGGUAAAUGAGUGUUUUCCAGCCUCACACCUGUUCUUUCAGGUUUGUUUCUCCACAUAACCACCUUACUAUUGAUGGGGUGUAUGCUAAGCCUUCUUGUCUAUAGUGCUAUACUUUUCAUUUUAUUUACUGUUUACUAUAAUUCUGGUUCUGCGUAGGUGCUGUUAACUGCCUCUAUUUUAUGUGGUGGUGUCAGUGGGCCUGGGUGUUCUAGCCACCACACCUGUGUCUGUAAUAUGUUUUUCUUUUUAUGGUUUAGUGUUUGUGUAAUUUUGGCUUAACGGGUGUUUUCUUUCUCUCCAGGAGCCAGUGAGUCUUGGUGUGGGACAGGGGAGGCUAGCUGCAUUUAUUCAGUGGUGUGUGCUUCCCAGCAUCCUCAGUGUGCCAGCACAAUAACUUCCUUAUGGUGUAGGUAGUGUUUGAUGAUUUUGCUGUGACUUGAGGUGGGUUUGGAUGACCUCCCGAGCUGUAGCUGGCCUGUCUUGUUCCUGCCAAGCCUGGGCCUGGAGAAGUGCUUAGUUUUAAAAGCCUUAUCGUGCUUCAUGGGAGAGCGAUUUUAUAUUUGUAUGUUAAGUUUUAAUGAUGCUUAAGUGUCAUAAUAAAAUGUCAUUUUUAUAUUCGUA